UGAGUACGAGAUGCUACGGCAUCGAAGCAGUCUAUGUCAUACUUCCAAGAAAAGCUUGCACUGUCAUAAACAAAGAAUGCCUGUACCAUAACCGACACAGGUGGGUAGGUAGAGUAUACUAAGGGGCGCGAGAUAACUCUCUCUAAGGAACUCGGCAAAAUGACUCCGUAACUUCGGGAGAAGGAGUGCCUUAUUUCUAAGGUUGCAAUAACAAGAUCCAAGCAACUGUUUACCAAAAACACAGGUCUCCGCUAAGUCGUAAGACGAUGUAUGGGGGCUGACGCCUGCCCAGUGCCAGAAGGUUAAAGAAGUUGGUUAGCAUUAGCGAAGCUGAUAACUGAAGCCCUGGUGAACGGCGGCCGUAACAAUAACGGUCCUAAGGUAGCGAAAUUCCUUGUCGGGUAAGUUCCGACCCGCACGAAAGGCGUAAUGAUUUGGAUACUGUCUCGGAGAGGGGCUCGGUGAAAUAGACUUGUCUGUGAAGAUGCGGACUACCUGCACCUGGACAGAAAGACCCUAUGAAGCUUUACUGUAACUUGAGAUUGAAAUUGGACUUUAUUUGCGCAGUAUAGGUGGGAGGCGUUGAGAAUAAUCUUGCGGGAUUGUUGGAGCCAUCAGUGAGAUACCACUCUUGUAAUGUUAGAUUUCUAACUUUGUAUCAUUAUCUGGUCAAAGAACAGUUUCAGGCGGGCAGUUUGACUGGGGCGGUCGCCUCCCAAAGGGUAACGGAGGCGCACAAAGGUUUCCUCUGAACGGGUAGAAAUCGUAUCUAGAGUGUAAAGGCAUAAGGAAGCUUGACUGUGAGACCUACAAGUCGAGCAGGGACGAAAGUCGGUCUUAGUGAUCUGACGGUGCUGAGUGGAAAGGCCGUCACUCAACGGAUAAAAGUUACUCUAGGAUAACAGGCUGAUCUCCCCCAAGAGUUCACAUCGACGGGGAGGUUUGGCACCUCGAUGUCGGCUCAUCGCAUCCUGGGGCGGUAGUCCGUCCCAAGGGUUGGGCUGUUCGCCCAUGAAAGCGGUACGCGAGCUGGGUUCAGAACGUCGUGAGACAGUUCGGUCCAUAUCCGGUGUAGGCGUUAGAAUAUUGAGAGGAGCCUUCUCUAGUACGAGAGGACCGAGAAGGACAUACCUCUGGUGUACCAGUUAUCGUGCCAACGGUAAACGCUGGGUAGCUAUGUAUGGAGUGGAUAACCGCUGAAAGCAUCUAAGUGGGAAGCCCACCUCAAGAUGAGUACUCUCACCAUAUUGGUUAAGGUCACGGGAAGAACACCCGUUGAUAGGCAUCAGGUGGAAGUGCAGUAAUGUAUGAAGCCGAAGUGUACUAACAGACCGAGGGC
Molecule: ribosomal RNA, 1339 nt
Filed under: metagenome
Description: bacterial LSU rRNA
Rfam family: Bacterial large subunit ribosomal RNA
Source: RNAcentral